Macaca fascicularis (crab-eating macaque) is the source of this 1566-nucleotide long non-coding RNA. NCBI's taxonomy places the organism in Eukaryota, Metazoa, Chordata, Mammalia, Primates, Cercopithecidae. The record is from Ensembl.
GUAUCUGCGCCCUGGGGAAGUCUCAUGGUCCCCCACCGUAUCCCAGACUGCAGGGCUGGCUGAGGCUCUCCUUGACUCCUGGGCAGGGCCUGGUGGGGUGAAGGCUUCCAUGAAGGAAGUAAGAACCCCAUCUGGGGCAGAGCUGGUGACUGAGAUAGAGGGGUCUGCAGUCUCUUCAGGGGGGCCUGCUUUAUCUGCAGUUUGCUUAUUCUCACUUCUCCACUCAUGUUCUAUUUAUCUUGAAAGGGACUAGGAAAGGAUGACAUAAUUACAGGCAACUCUAGGCAGAGGGGGUCUCGAGGGCUCUUUUCCAUGGUCCUGUUCCUGGACUUAGGGUUUCUGUGUUGCUUUCCAAAUCAGGGCAUCCUAGGGCCGGCUCCUAAACUGUCUGCCUCCAUGAAGUCCGCCUUAUAUGGUUCUUCCUGAUUUGUAGCUGGAGGUGAGCUUGGAGACUGUCUUACCUGCUCUCAUGUUGCUAGUUGGGUCUGUAGGGCAGGGGAUUGAUGCCCCUCUUGACUGAGACCACCCUCGGCCUUAGCAGAAGGCCAGCCCCCCAUGGAACAGAAGAGAUAGGGUGGCAGCUAUGCCUGGCAGAUGAGAGGAGGGCCCUUCUGCCUUGAGGCCUUCAGAGGGCUCAUCCCUUUGGCCCUCUGCUUACCCUUCAUAACCCAGUGACCCUUAGCAUUUCCUCUCAUUUGGCACAGAGACCCAUCCUCCCCUCAGGGUCUUCAUUGAGUGUUUGGAGAUAUAGAGACUGAUAGAACUCCAGGAGGACUCCUAUCCCCUGCCUCUUUUUGGCCCUAAAUAAAGCCAUCCACAAAGUCCUUGUCCCUAAGGAGCCAUGUUGGUCUUGUCUGUGCCAGGGGUAGUCAUAGCUGCUAUUCUUUGCAGUGGCUUCAUCGUCCCUUCUUUCCCAUUUCUGCUGGAUGUGGGGAGCACAGUCAGGUCAGCAGCCAGGUGCCAUCAUUUGGGAGCAUGUGAGCUUGGAUGCUCUGGCCAGGUUUUUGUAGCCACCCAGAAUGGUCCUGACUCUCCCCCAUUGGCUGCUCUGGCCAAACUGUGGAAUGGGUCUCCAUCUUGACCAUCUCCAGGAGCAGGGUGAAUGGGAAAUCCACUUGGGGUGGACUUCAAGCAGGCACAGAGGGAAACAGCCUUGGUCAGCAUCACAGACCUCGACAGAGCCGUGCUUCUGUUACAGAGGCCUCUCUGUUCCAGGUUCAGGCCCAUGCAGGUUUUAGGGGCAGGUGAAGGCUCCCAGGAGAGGGGGGCCAUGUGCCUGCACGCCUGGGUGCAUGCCCGCAGGAGGGGUGAGUACUGAACGUGCUCUGAGUCACUCACUGAGUCAUGGCUCGGCUGCCACAGAACAUUGUUAUAUAGACAUAGAGAAGAAAAACCUGGCACAAGAAGAUAGGAAAUUCUGUCUUUGCUCCAAACCAUGACCAAGAAUGGAGAUUCCAACACCAGCAAGAAUUUGUGAUCACUUAACUUGGGUUAUGGCCAUAAUUGCUGCAUAGAACAUUUGUAAUUCAGUUUGAUCAAUUUUUUCCUAAUUUUUUCUUAAGACUG